GAUGAACGCUGGCGGCGUGCCUAAUACAUGCAAGUCGAGCGAACAGACGAGGAGCUUGCUCCUCUGACGUUAGCGGCGGACGGGUGAGUAACACGUGGAUAACCUACCUAUAAGACUGGGAUAACUUCGGGAAACCGGAGCUAAUACCGGAUAAUAUAUUGAACCGCAUGGUUCAAUAGUGAAAUACGGUUUUGCUGUCACUUAUAGAUGGAUCCGCGCCGCAUUAGCUAGUUGGUAAGGUAACGGCUUACCAAGGCAACGAUGCGUAGCCGACCUGAGAGUGUGAUCCGCCACACUGGAACUGAGACACGGUCCAGACUCCUACGGGAGGCAGCAGUAGGGAAUCUUCCGCAAUGGGCGGAAGCCUGACGGAGCAACGCCGCGUGAGUGAUGAAGGUCUUCGGAUCGUAAUACUCUGUUAUUAGGGAAGAACAAAUGUGUAAGUAAAUAUGCACGUCUUGACGGUACCUAAUCAGAAAGCCACGGCUAACUACGUG
Molecule: ribosomal RNA, 497 nt
Filed under: uncultured bacterium
Lineage: Bacteria
Description: partial 16S ribosomal RNA
Rfam family: Bacterial small subunit ribosomal RNA
Source: RNAcentral